Molecule: long non-coding RNA, 134 nt
Organism: Larimichthys crocea (large yellow croaker)
Lineage: Eukaryota; Metazoa; Chordata; Actinopteri; Sciaenidae
Exons: 3
Source: RefSeq, a predicted model, not a curated record
GCAGGGUGAGUUUGGAGUGUGCAGUGUGUUGUUUACAUGCAGGGUGAGUUUAGAGUGUGCAGUGUGUUGUUUACAUGCAGGGUGAGUUUAGAGUGUGCAGUGUGUUGUUUACAUGCAGGGUGAGUUUAGAGUGU